GGUAGUUUGGCCGAGUGGUCUAAGGCGCUGGAUUUUGACUCCAGGCUCGACCAAGGUGUGGGUUCGAAUCCCACCACUGCCA
Molecule: non-coding RNA, 82 nt
Organism: Hemiscyllium ocellatum (epaulette shark)
Lineage: Eukaryota; Metazoa; Chordata; Chondrichthyes; Orectolobiformes; Hemiscylliidae
Source: the annotation of a RefSeq genome assembly